CUGGCCCGAAAAAACGACCCGUGAACGCGUUAAGUACAACAUCGCGGGGUGGGGCGAGGGUGCGCGUCCGUGCCCCGAUCCCCCCCCCCUCGGCGCCCGGGCGUUCGCGACCCGGCCUCGCUACGCCUCCGUGGCGGGCGGGAUGCCUGGUCGCGUCGCUCGCGGCCGAACAACGAACCCCCGGCGCGAGUCGCGCCAAGGAAUCGGAAUAUAAGAUGAAGAGCGCGCCCGCUGCCCAGCCGUCCCGUCCGCGGUGCUCGUGCUGGCAGCGGCGUGACUCCUACGUCGCGAAAAAUACGAAACGACUCUCGGCAACGGAUAUCUCGGCUCUCGCAUCGAUGAAGAACGUAGCGAAAUGCGAUACUUGGUGUGAAUUGCAGAAUCCCGUGAACCAUCGAGUCUUUGAACGCAAGUUGCGCCCCAAGCCACUAGGCCGAGGGCACGUCUGCCUGGGUGUCACGCAUCGUCGCCCCCUCCAACCCUCGGCCCCUAGGGGUCCGGAUGAGGUGGGGGCGGAAAAUGGCCUCCCGUGGGCUCAUCGCUCGCGGUUGGCUUAAAAUCGAGUCCUCGGCAACGAUAGCGCCGCGACGAUCGGUGGUGAUUCUCCGGUCGCGUGCGCUCCCGUUCCUCCGGACCCUAUCGGGACCCUAUCAGCGUCGCAACGCGCGAUGCUCGCAUCGCGACCCCAGGUCAGGCGGGAUUACCC
RNAcentral lists this ribosomal RNA (706 nucleotides) under Scleronema micranthum. Its description in RNAcentral is "eukaryotic LSU rRNA". The stretch from base 304 to 459 matches the Rfam family "5.8S ribosomal RNA". The record is from RNAcentral. Lineage: Eukaryota; Viridiplantae; Streptophyta; Magnoliopsida; Malvales; Malvaceae.